UAUAAUAUUAAGCCAUUGAAAAUCAUAAACCCUAAAAAUUAAAAUUAUUUCGCUUUCCUCACUCUUGUUCAGUCUUCUACUCUUCUCUGUGCGGCGUGCGCCUUCCUCAAUCCUCAUUCCUCUUCAAUUUAAUCUACCUGAUCUUCAAUUGAAUCUAACUGAUCUUCAAUUCAAUCUACCUGAUCUUCCAGCACUUUGCCGGUUUAUGGUGGUGUUUAAGUAUGGUUCAAUGCAUAGAGUUAUUAGUGUAUUGAUGAAGAGACUUAAACAUAUGAUUCAUGUAACCUGAUGAAUAAUAACUAAUGAGUUAAACACAUUGUUUGAACUCUAAUAUAGCAUGGUGUUCAAGAAAAACUAUAAGGAUUUUGCAAACAAUUUGAGGAUUGAUUCAAAGGAUUGCUAUAGUUGUAAUGAAUAUAUUAAUAUAUUACACUCCAAACCUCAAUAUUAAUUACUACAAAUGAUCACUUUUGACAUGGUUUCAAUUGUGGCACAAGUAAGUAAUAUUCGUGGUUAUGCUGUCAGCCACGGAAAUUCAAGCUAGAAACUUACUUGACACAAAUGAUCUACGGGGAAAAUCAUGGUGUGGUUGAAUUGUGGAAUUGACUCUCAUGAAACUCAUGUAUUUGUAGUAGUAUAUUAUUAGUUUUAAUAUUUUAGAAUAAGUCGAAUGAGUAUAAUAUCAGUGAUAUAAAUUGAUGUAUUUGUAUAAUAUUAGUCAUAUUAACAUUAUAUUAUUCGUAUUAAUUUAGUAUAAGUUGUAUUAGUAUACUAUUAGUCGUAUUAGUGUGUUAUUUGUCGUAUUAACAUAGUUUUAGUUGUGUUAGUGUAUUAUUAUUUUAUUAUUUGUGGUAAUAGUGUAGUAUUAGUUCUAU
Molecule: long non-coding RNA, 875 nt
Organism: Amaranthus tricolor (Joseph's coat)
Lineage: Eukaryota; Viridiplantae; Streptophyta; Magnoliopsida; Caryophyllales; Amaranthaceae
Exons: 2
Source: RefSeq, a predicted model, not a curated record